This 512-nucleotide ribosomal RNA is filed under the name uncultured bacterium. RNAcentral's name for it is "partial 16S ribosomal RNA". It matches the Rfam family "Bacterial small subunit ribosomal RNA", at positions 28 to 507 of the family's 1533-position model. The record is from RNAcentral.
GACGAACGCUGGCGGCGUGCCUAAUACAUGCAAGUCGAGCGAGCGGAACUAACAGUUUUUCUUCGGUCGUGACGUUAGGAAGGCGAGCGCCCGCUGGGUGCGUACCCCUUGGGUUACCUGCCCCAUAGUCUGGUAUACCACUUGUAAACUGGUGCUUCUUCCUGAUAAGAGAGCAGUUCGCAUGUUCAGCUUUUAUAUGUCGGCUUAAGCUGUCUCUAUUGGAUGGCCCCGUGGUGCAUUAGCUAGUUUGUAAGGUAAAGGCUUACCAAGCCGAUGAGGGGUAGCCGAGGGGAGAGACUGAUCGGCCACAUUGGAACUGAGACACGGACCAAACGACUAAGGGAGGCAGCAGUAGGGAAUCUUACGCAAUGGGCGGAAGUAUGAUGGAGCAAAGCCGCGUGAGUGAAGAAGGUGUUCGGAGCGUAAAGAUCUGUUGUUGGUGAAGAAGGAAAGAGGUAGUAACUGGACAUUAUUUGACGGUAAUCAAUCAGAAAGCCACGGCUAACUACGUG